RNAcentral lists this long non-coding RNA (221 nucleotides) under Vigna radiata. RNAcentral describes it as "long non-coding RNA (VRAD_LNC011348)". Lineage: Eukaryota; Viridiplantae; Streptophyta; Magnoliopsida; Fabales; Fabaceae. The record is from RNAcentral.
AUUAACUUUGAAUUGAGCUGUAAUUUUUUUUUUUAUGUUUUAAAAUCAUUAAAUCCACGUGGCUAUGGUCUUUCUUUUUCCUUCCAAUCACUUAUCACACUUUUUCCUCAAGUCCUUAUGAAAUGCAAACAUUUUACAACAUUUUACCCCAACCGUUAAGUGUAUUGAGACGGCGUUAACUUUGAACUGAGCUGUAAUUUUCUUUUUUAUGUUUUAAAAUC